This 2906-nucleotide ribosomal RNA is filed under the name Escherichia coli. RNAcentral's name for it is "23S ribosomal RNA". It matches the Rfam family "Bacterial large subunit ribosomal RNA". The record is from RNAcentral. Lineage: Bacteria; Pseudomonadati; Pseudomonadota; Gammaproteobacteria; Enterobacterales; Enterobacteriaceae.
GGUUAAGCGACUAAGCGUACACGGUGGAUGCCCUGGCAGUCAGAGGCGAUGAAGGACGUGCUAAUCUGCGAUAAGCGUCGGUAAGGUGAUAUGAACCGUUAUAACCGGCGAUUUCCGAAUGGGGAAACCCAGUGUGAUUCGUCACACUAUCAUUAACUGAAUCCAUAGGUUAAUGAGGCGAACCGGGGGAACUGAAACAUCUAAGUACCCCGAGGAAAAGAAAUCAACCGAGAUUCCCCCAGUAGCGGCGAGCGAACGGGGAGCAGCCCAGAGCCUGAAUCAGUGUGUGUGUUAGUGGAAGCGUCUGGAAAGGCGUGCGAUACAGGGUGACAGCCCCGUACACAAAAAUGCACAUACUGUGAGCUCGAUGAGUAGGGCGGGACACGUGGUAUCCUGUCUGAAUAUGGGGGGACCAUCCUCCAAGGCUAAAUACUCCUGACUGACCGAUAGUGAACCAGUACCGUGAGGGAAAGGCGAAAAGAACCCCGGCGAGGGGAGUGAAAAAGAACCUGAAACCGUGUACGUACAAGCAGUGGGAGCACAGAGCAAUCUGUGUGACUGCGUACCUUUUGUAUAAUGGGUCAGCGACUUAUAUUCUGUAGCAAGGUUAACCGAAUAGGGGAGCCGAAGGGAAACCGAGUCUUAACUGGGCGUUAAGUUGCAGGGUAUAGACCCGAAACCCGGUGAUCUAGCCAUGGGCAGGUUGAAGGUUGGGUAACACUAACUGGAGGACCGAACCGACUAAUGUUGAAAAAUUAGCGGAUGACUUGUGGCUGGGGGUGAAAGGCCAAUCAAACCGGGAGAUAGCUGGUUCUCCCCGAAAGCUAUUUAGGUAGCGCCUCGUGAAUUCAUCUCCGGGGGUAGAGCACUGUUUCGGCAAGGGGGUCAUCCCGACUUACCAACCCGAUGCAAACUGCGAAUACCGGAGAAUGUUAUCACGGGAGACACACGGCGGGUGCUAACGUCCGUCGUGAAGAGGGAAACAACCCAGACCGCCAGCUAAGGUCCCAAAGUCAUGGUUAAGUGGGAAACGAUGUGGGAAGGCCCAGACAGCCAGGAUGUUGGCUUAGAAGCAGCCAUCAUUUAAAGAAAGCGUAAUAGCUCACUGGUCGAGUCGGCCUGCGCGGAAGAUGUAACGGGGCUAAACCAUGCACCGAAGCUGCGGCAGCGACGCUUAUGCGUUGUUGGGUAGGGGAGCGUUCUGUAAGCCUGCGAAGGUGUGCUGUGAGGCAUGCUGGAGGUAUCAGAAGUGCGAAUGCUGACAUAAGUAACGAUAAAGCGGGUGAAAAGCCCGCUCGCCGGAAGACCAAGGGUUCCUGUCCAACGUUAAUCGGGGCAGGGUGAGUCGACCCCUAAGGCGAGGCCGAAAGGCGUAGUCGAUGGGAAACAGGUUAAUAUUCCUGUACUUGGUGUUACUGCGAAGGGGGGACGGAGAAGGCUAUGUUGGCCGGGCGACGGUUGUCCCGGUUUAAGCGUGUAGGCUGGUUUUCCAGGCAAAUCCGGAAAAUCAAGGCUGAGGCGUGAUGACGAGGCACUACGGUGCUGAAGCAACAAAUGCCCUGCUUCCAGGAAAAGCCUCUAAGCAUCAGGUAACAUCAAAUCGUACCCCAAACCGACACAGGUGGUCAGGUAGAGAAUACCAAGGCGCUUGAGAGAACUCGGGUGAAGGAACUAGGCAAAAUGGUGCCGUAACUUCGGGAGAAGGCACGCUGAUAUGUAGGUGAAGUCCCUCGCGGAUGGAGCUGAAAUCAGUCGAAGAUACCAGCUGGCUGCAACUGUUUAUUAAAAACACAGCACUGUGCAAACACGAAAGUGGACGUAUACGGUGUGACGCCUGCCCGGUGCCGGAAGGUUAAUUGAUGGGGUCAGCGCAAGCGAAGCUCUUGAUCGAAGCCCCGGUAAACGGCGGCCGUAACUAUAACGGUCCUAAGGUAGCGAAAUUCCUUGUCGGGUAAGUUCCGACCUGCACGAAUGGCGUAAUGAUGGCCAGGCUGUCUCCACCCGAGACUCAGUGAAAUUGAACUCGCUGUGAAGAUGCAGUGUACCCGCGGCAAGACGGAAAGACCCCGUGAACCUUUACUAUAGCUUGACACUGAACAUUGAGCCUUGAUGUGUAGGAUAGGUGGGAGGCUUGGAAGUGUGGACGCCAGUCUGCAUGGAGCCGACCUUGAAAUACCACCCUUUAAUGUUUGAUGUUCUAACGUUGACCCGUAAUCCGGGUUGCGGACAGUGUCUGGUGGGUAGUUUGACUGGGGCGGUCUCCUCCUAAAGAGUAACGGAGGAGCACGAAGGUUGGCUAAUCCUGGUCGGACAUCAGGAGGUUAGUGCAAUGGCAUAAGCCAGCUUGACUGCGAGCGUGACGGCGCGAGCAGGUGCGAAAGCAGGUCAUAGUGAUCCGGUGGUUCUGAAUGGAAGGGCCAUCGCUCAACGGAUAAAAGGUACUCCGGGGAUAACAGGCUGAUACCGCCCAAGAGUUCAUAUCGACGGCGGUGUUUGGCACCUCGAUGUCGGCUCAUCACAUCCUGGGGCUGAAGUAGGUCCCAAGGGUAUGGCUGUUCGCCAUUUAAAGUGGUACGCGAGCUGGGUUUAGAACGUCGUGAGACAGUUCGGUCCCUAUCUGCCGUGGGCGCUGGAGAACUGAGGGGGGCUGCUCCUAGUACGAGAGGACCGGAGUGGACGCAUCACUGGUGUUCGGGUUGUCAUGCCAAUGGCACUGCCCGGUAGCUAAAUGCGGAAGAGAUAAGUGCUGAAAGCAUCUAAGCACGAAACUUGCCCCGAGAUGAGUUCUCCCUGACUCCUUGAGAGUCCUGAAGGAACGUUGAAGACGACGACGUUGAUAGGCCGGGUGUGUAAGCGCAGCGAUGCGUUGAGCUAACCGGUACUAAUGAACCGUGAGGCUUAACCUU